CACCAGGUUGAUUCUGCCUGACGUAUGCGCUUGUCUUGAAGAUUUAGCCAUGCAAGCCAGUGACCGUAAGGAACGGCAGACAGCUCAGUAAUACAGUUAUAAUUUACUCGUAGGAUAUGGAUAACCAUGGAAAACUAUGGCUAAAACAUAGGGAGAAUACCGUCACAGGGAAUUUUGAGGUAUUUGAUACGAUUAAGUUUCUGACCUAUUAGUUAGAUGGUAAGGUAAAGGCUUACCAUGGCUGUGAUGGGUAACGGGGAAUUAACGUUCGAUUCCGGAGAGGGAGCCUGAGAAAUAGCUCCCACGUCUAAGGAUGGCAGCAGGCGCGAAACUUACCCAAUUCCUUGCCGGGAGAGGUAGUGAAGAGACGUGAAAUAUAAUUUAGCGAGGGCAUAUUAAAUGGCAGCCUGUAAACUGGAGGGCAAGCCUGGUGCCAGCAGCCGCGGUAAUUCCAGCUCCAGUAGCGCAUAUAACUAUUGUUGCUGUUAAAACGUCCGUAGUAGAUUAUUCUGUUACUAUGACAAAAAUGUAUAUCUCAAAUGAAAUAUAUAGCAUAGUACAAAGUAAAGACAGGAACAGAUGAUGGCAGCAGUAUUUAAUAGUUAGAGGUGAAAAUCGAAGACCUAUUAAGGACUCUCAGAAGCGAAAGCGGCUGUCAAGUAUCUGUAUCCAAGGACUCACGAUUAUCGAAAUUGAAUGGAUACCAUAGUACCAUUUGUAAACAAUUAGAGUGAGGACUACAUUACUCCUUACAAGAAACCAACGUUUAAUUGACCAGGGGGGAUAGUACGAAAGCAAUUUUGAAACUUAAAGAGAUUGACGGAAGGAUACCACAAGGAGUGGAUUGUGCGGCUUAAUUUGACUCAACGCGGGACAACUUACCAGGGCCGAAUGUCUAUGAGAUUGGCUAUCUGAGAAGAUACCCGAGAUUAGACAAAGGGUGGUGCAUGGCCGUUUUCAACACGUGGGGUGACCUGUCAGGUUAAUUACGAUAACGCGUGAGGCCCUAAAUGCAACAGUGUUGUAUGACGGACAGUGCAAACUGUAGGAAGGAGGGCGAUAACAGGUCAGUGAUGCCCCCAGAUGUUCUGGGCUGCACGCGCAAUACAAUAUAUGAAAAAGAAUAGAGUGUGAAAACUUAGAUUUAAUGUCAUAUGUACCAGGGAUAAGCGCUUGUAAAUGCGUUUUGAACAUGGAAUUCCUAGUAAUCGCAGGUCAUUAUGCUGCGAUGAAUGUGUCCCUGUUCUUUGUACACACCGCCCGUCACUAUCUUAGAUGAAUGUAUAGGUGAAAUGGCUGGACGAAAGAAAGGCAGUUGAACCUGUGCAAUUAGAUAAGAUAUAAGUCGUAACAAGGCUGCUAUAGGAGAACCUGUGGCAGGAUCAAUA
Molecule: ribosomal RNA, 1388 nt
Filed under: Bryonosema plumatellae
Lineage: Eukaryota; Fungi; Microsporidia; Pseudonosematidae
Description: Microsporidia small subunit ribosomal RNA
Rfam family: Microsporidia small subunit ribosomal RNA
Source: Rfam by way of RNAcentral